AAGACUUUCAAUCCAAAUCAGUAAUUAAAUUAAAAUCUUCUUCUUCAUCUGCAUUUUGUAAUAAGGUAAUAAAAGCAAAUGCCUCCAUUAAAGAGAUAUGGGAAAAUCAAAAUAAGAAAAAGAAAAAGAGAAAAAUACUCCAGGAAAAAUAUUAGUAGUGCUCAGAUUAACGCAAUCUAUACAAAUUGGAGUCAAAUGUGGAGUCAAAACUUGUGCUGCUCAUUCAUAAGCUCAAAUUCAGAUAGCCUUUCUGUGAGAUUUUCUUUACAUAACUAAGUUUUUUUCUUCUAAUUUCUCCAAUAUUUUAAUAAAUACGUUAAGCCCUAAUGUUAUA
This is a long non-coding RNA of Macadamia integrifolia, 334 nucleotides long. RefSeq lists it as uncharacterized. Lineage: Eukaryota; Viridiplantae; Streptophyta; Magnoliopsida; Proteales; Proteaceae. The record is from RefSeq and is a predicted model, not a curated record. The transcript has 2 exons.